GGCGGCCCCGGCGCUGGUGGCGGCGGCGGUGGCGGGGGCAGAGCC
RNAcentral lists this microRNA precursor (45 nucleotides) under Cricetulus griseus (Chinese hamster). RNAcentral's name for it is "miRNA (ENSCGRG00001007225.1)". Lineage: Eukaryota; Metazoa; Chordata; Mammalia; Rodentia; Cricetidae. The record is from RNAcentral.